Molecule: ribosomal RNA, 1181 nt
Filed under: Proteus mirabilis
Lineage: Bacteria; Pseudomonadati; Pseudomonadota; Gammaproteobacteria; Enterobacterales; Morganellaceae
Description: partial 23S ribosomal RNA
Rfam family: Bacterial large subunit ribosomal RNA
Source: RNAcentral
AUGGGGUGACUGCGUACCUUUUGUAUAAUGGGUCAGCGACUUAUAUUCUGUAGCGAGGUUAACCGUAUAGGGGAGCCGUAGGGAAACCGAGUCUUAACUGGGCGAAUGAGUUGCAGGGUAUAGACCCGAAACCCGGUGAUCUAUCCAUGGGCAGGUUGAAGGUUGGGUAACACUAACUGGAGGACCGAACCGACUAAUGUUGAAAAAUUAGCGGAUGACUUGUGGAUGGGGGUGAAAGGCCAAUCAAACCGGGAGAUAGCUGGUUCUCCCCGAAAGCUAUUUAGGUAGCGCCUCGUGAACUCAUCUUCGGGGGUAGAGCACUGUUUCGACUAGGGGGUCAUCCCGACUUACCAACUCGAUGCAAACUGCGAAUACCGAAGAAUGUUAUCACGGGAGACACACGGCGGGUGCUAACGUCCGUCGUGAAGAGGGAAACAACCCAGACCGCCAGCUAAGGUCCCAAAGUCAUGGUUAAGUGGGAAACGAAGUGGGAAGGCUCAGACAGCCAGGAUGUUGGCUUAGAAGCAGCCAUCAUUUAAAGAAAGCGUAAUAGCUCACUGGUCGAGUCGGCCCGCGCGGAAGAUGUAACGGGGCUAAACCAUGCACCGAAGCUGCGGCAGCGACACAAAGUGUUGUUGGGUAGGGGAGCGUUCUGUAAGCCUGCGAAGGUGUACUGUGAGGUAUGCUGGAGGUAUCAGAAGUGCGAAUGCUGACAUAAGUAACGAUAAUGCGGGUGAAAAACCCGCACGCCGGAAGACCAAGGGUUCCUGUCCAACGUUAAUCGGGGCAGGGUGAGUCGACCCCUAAGGCGAGGCUGAAAAGCGUAGUCGAUGGGAAACGGGUUAAUAUUCCCGUACUGGUGGUAACUGCGAUGGGGGAACGGAGAAGGCUAGGUUGUCCGGGCGACGGUCGUCCCGGUUCAAGCAGGUAGGCAGAGUGAUUAGGCAAAUCCGGUCACUUAAUGCUGAGAUGUGAUGACGAACCACCAAGGUGGUGAAGCAAUUGAUGCCCCGCUUCCAGGAAAAGCCUCUAAGCUUCAGGUUACCAACAAUCGUACCCCAAACCGACACAGGUGGUCAGGUAGAGAAUACUCAGGCGCUUGAGAGAACUCGGGUGAAGGAACUAGGCAAAAUGGUGCCGUAACUUCGGGAGAAGGCACGCUGGCGGUAGGUAAAGUCCCU